RNAcentral lists this long non-coding RNA (1925 nucleotides) under Pan troglodytes (chimpanzee). RNAcentral's name for it is "long non-coding RNA NONPTRT001281". Lineage: Eukaryota; Metazoa; Chordata; Mammalia; Primates; Hominidae. The record is from RNAcentral.
GAAAAACAGGACGAUGUUUAUUUUAAGGUAGGCACUGGCUCAGUGGAUUCACAUCCAAAAAGCUGAGCAUUGAACAAAGACUGAGCAGGAUUUUUAUAAGCAGGCUUACAGAAGCAAAACAGGCAGUUAAUCAUAUAAUGACAGGUCACAUAAUCUAUAGCAUAACUGAUGACUUGGCAUAACUUGUGGCUUUGCAUAGCUGGUGGCCUUGUAGCUGCGUGCAAAGAAAAAACAAGAACUGGCUAAAUACAGACAGACAUUUGUCCUUUUUUUUUUCCUUCACCCUUGCUCCAGACGGGGGAUGUCUGGAGCCUAUUCCUUUGGUUUCGACUUCUCGAAGAGCAUUAUCUUAUAAUUGUCUUUGAAGUGAGCUUGCUAGGCAGAGAAAAACUUGUUCUUACUUUCUUUUUAACCUUUGCCUUGCCACAUUCUGGGCCUUGGCUUUUACUUCUCAGACUAGGUCACUAUGACCUUCUUUUAGCCUUGUCUGUUACUUUUCUUGGAGUGAAUGAAUGUAGUACUCACUAUCUUUUUUUAAUUUCUGCCUCACAGCAACGGCUGCGGCCCAGGGCUGAAAAUGAGUGCUGCCAGAUAUUCUCACUUAUCUGGGGAUGGCAACCAACUCAAAUAUCUUUGCUUAGACCCAGAGCCUGAAUCAACCAAAAAAACUUCCAGCUGGGCGUGGUGCCUAAUGCCUGUAAUCCCAGCACUUUGGGACGCUGAGGCAGGCAGAUCAGCCAAGGCCAGGAGUUUGAGACCAGCCUGGCCAACAUGAUGAAACCCCGUCUCUACUAAAAAUAUAAAAACUAGCCGGGCGUAGUAGCAAGCGCCUGUAAUCCCAGCUACUUGGGAGGCUGAGGCAGGAGAAUUGCUUGAGCCUGGGAGGCAGAGGUUGCAGUGAGCCGAGAUGGUGCCUGGGCAACAAGAGUGAGACUCUGACAAAAUAACAACAACAACAACAAAAAUGGUUCCCCCAGUCCUUGAGGAAGUUUAAUUCAAACCUUUGCAGGAGGUGAGGGGAAAUAUUUAUAUUCUAGUCUUCUUCUAGGGCAACCAAAUACAGAGGGUGAACCAAAUCUUUUAAGUUUCCGCAUUAAAUCAGUUUCAUCUUUUGGAACCUGCCAAAAUGUCAUAAUCAUCACAACUAUUAUUAUCGUCAUCAUCACUGUUAUGAUUCCACCUUUGCACAGUUCUGAUUUUUUUUUUUAAGACAAGGUCUCACUCGGCCUCCCAAAAUGCUGAGAUUACAGCCUUGAGCCACUGCGCGAGGACUGAUCUUUAGAACAUGCUUUUAUUUUAGUCAAUUUAAAACUGAGACUUUUAAUUGAAAAUUGGCAGUUUAAAUUCAAUAGAAGACACACCACCACCAAAUCCCACUGCCUUGCAGAUGUUGGCUGAGUGUCCCUUCCCACUCAACAAAGGCUCACUGCCGCGCCCACCUCACUCCCAGCACUGCCUGCUGACAUGAGCCACUCCCUGGGCACGGGGUUCCCAAAACAUGAGAGUAUCCCUGCCAAGCUGUUUCCUCCCAAAUUAUUUUCUGCCCUCCCUGUCAAGCCCUCCCCCACCUCCAACUCCUAUCCCCAGCCAGAGACCAGCAGGUGAAACUCUCCUGUGCUAACCCUUGUCCGGGAUAUAAGAAGAGGUGUUGGCCGGUUGGUUUUCUGAGUCACAAAAUCAUACCAGAGUUUUCAGAGUCCAGUAUACACUGCAGAGCACAUACCAAGAACACUCCACCAGCACCCUCCAAUCAAGGGACAGGCUUCCCUUAUCCUUCUGGAAAUAUUCUUGGAUUCUCCCUCAGAACCCCCAGGCAGCUCUCCAAGGCUCUAUAUACCCCAUACUAUUUGUUUAUGUACUUGUUUACUCCUUUUGCAACUCAAGCCAGUCCUGCUGCCUUUUCAUGCCCAAGCAGCAUCUGUCCC